Molecule: ribosomal RNA, 368 nt
Filed under: uncultured organism
Description: bacterial SSU rRNA
Rfam family: Bacterial small subunit ribosomal RNA
Source: RNAcentral
CGGAGGAUCCAAGCGUUAUCCGGAUUCAUUGGGUUUAAAGGGUGCGUAGGCGGAACGAUAAGUCAGUGGUGAAAGCCUGCAGCUUAACUGCAGAACUGCCAUUGAUACUGUCGAUCUUGAGUACAUUUGAUGAGGGCGGAAUGUGUCAUGUAGCGGUGAAAUGCUUAGAUAUGACACAGAACACCGAUUGCGAAGGCAGCUCUCAAAACUGUAACUGACGCUGAGGCACGAAAGCGUGGGUAUCAAACAGGAUUAGAUACCCUGGUAGUCCACGCUGUAAACUAUGAUUACUCGAUGUUUGCGAUAUACUGUAAGCGUCUAAGCGAAAGCGAUAAGUAAUCCACCUGGGGAGUACGCCGGCAACGGUG